ACCUUCUCAGGAUCGCAUCUGGAGAGGUUCCAGUCCUCUACCAGUCUCGGCUAUGGGAGGGAGAGUCAAGUAGAGGCCUACCCAUUCCAUUCCUAGCUUGGCCUGUGGCUAGCGAGUGGAAGGCCAUCUGCUACAAGU
This 138-nucleotide small nucleolar RNA is filed under the name Ornithorhynchus anatinus (platypus). Lineage: Eukaryota; Metazoa; Chordata; Mammalia; Monotremata; Ornithorhynchidae. The record is from RNAcentral.